UUGCGACCCCAGGUCA
This 16-nucleotide ribosomal RNA is filed under the name Borago officinalis. RNAcentral's name for it is "partial 28S ribosomal RNA". The record is from RNAcentral. Lineage: Eukaryota; Viridiplantae; Streptophyta; Magnoliopsida; Boraginales; Boraginaceae.